AUUGAACGCUGGCGGCAUGCCUUACACAUGCAGGUCGAACGGCAGCACGGGUGCUUGCACCUGGUGGCGAGUGGCGAACGGGUGAGUAAUAUAUCGGAACGUACCUUAUUGUGGGGGAUAACGCAGCGAAAGCUGUGCUAAUACCGCAUAAUCCCUUAGGGGGAAAGCGGGGGACCGUAAGGCCUCGCGCAAUUAGAGCGGCCGAUACCUGAUUAGCUAGUUGGUGAGGUAAAGGCUCACCAAGGCGACGAUCAGUAGCUGGUCUGAGAGGACGAUCAGCCACACUGGGACUGAGAAACGGCCCAGACUCCUACGGGAGGAAGCAGUGGGGAAUUUGGGACAAGGGGGGCAACCCUGAUCCAGCAAUGCCGCGUGAGUGAAGAAGGCCUACGGGUUGUAAAGCUCUUUUGUCAGGGAAGAAACAGCAGCUCUAACACAGUAUGCGAAUGACGGUACCUGAAGAAUAAGCACCGGCUAACUACGUGCCAGCAGCCGCCGUAA
RNAcentral lists this ribosomal RNA (501 nucleotides) under uncultured bacterium. Its description in RNAcentral is "partial 16S ribosomal RNA". It matches the Rfam family "Bacterial small subunit ribosomal RNA", at positions 30 to 523 of the family's 1533-position model. The record is from RNAcentral.